This 27-nucleotide ribosomal RNA is filed under the name Lactifluus volemus. Its description in RNAcentral is "Lactarius volemus partial 28S ribosomal RNA". Lineage: Eukaryota; Fungi; Basidiomycota; Agaricomycetes; Russulales; Russulaceae. RNAcentral also lists the same sequence under 5 other names. The record is from RNAcentral.
UUGACCUCAAAUCGGGUGAGACUACCC